RNAcentral lists this ribosomal RNA (600 nucleotides) under uncultured bacterium. RNAcentral's name for it is "bacterial SSU rRNA". It matches the Rfam family "Bacterial small subunit ribosomal RNA", at positions 745 to 1344 of the family's 1533-position model. The record is from RNAcentral.
GUUGAGGCACGAAAGUGUGGGGAGCAAAACAGGAUUAGAUACCCUGGUAGUCCACACUGUAAACGAUGGAUACUAGGUGUAGGGGGUAUUAAGCCUUCUGUGCCGUCGCUAACGCAGUAAGUAUCCCACCUGGGGAGUACGACCGCAAGGUUGAAACUCAAAGGAAUUGACGGGGGCCCGCACAAGCAGUGGAGUAUGUGGUUUAAUUCGAAGCAACGCGAAGAACCUUACCAGGGCUUGACAUAUACAGGAAUAAUCUAGAGAUAGGUUAGCUCUUCGGAGUCUGUAUACAGGUGGUGCAUGGUUGUCGUCAGCUCGUGUCGUGAGAUGUUGGGUUAAGUCCCGCAACGAGCGCAACCCCUGUUUCUAGUUGCCAGCACGUUAAGGUGGGAACUCUAGAGAGACUGCCGUUGAUAAAACGGAGGAAGGUGGGGACGACGUCAAAUCAUCAUGCCCUUUAUGUCCUGGGCUACACACGUACUACAAUGGCUAUAACAAAGGGAAGCGAAACAGCGAUGUGAAGCGAAACUCAAAAAAGUAGUCUCAGUUCGGAUUGUAGGCUGAAAUUCGCCCUACAUGAAGCCGGAACGCUAGUAAUGG